Molecule: unclassified non-coding RNA, 378 nt
Filed under: uncultured Actinomycetes bacterium
Lineage: Bacteria; Bacillati; Actinomycetota; Actinomycetes
Description: uncultured actinobacterium contains 16S-23S intergenic spacer region
Source: RNAcentral
UCCGGUUUAUCACCGGCAGUUCCCCUAGAGUCCCCGGCAUGAUCCGCUGGCAACUAAGGGCAAGGGUUGCGCUCGUUGCGCCACUUAAGGCAACACCUCACGGCACGAGCUGACGACAGCCAUGCAGCACCUGUGCGGGCCCCCGAAGGGGCACCGUGUUUCCACGGCGUCACCCCGCAUGUCAAGCCCUGGUAAGGUUCUUCGCGUUGCGUCGAAUUGAGCCACAUGCUCCGCCGCUUGUGCGGGUCCCCGUCAAUUCCUUUGAGUUUUAGCCUUGCGGCCGUACUCCCCAGGCGGGGUGCUUAAUGCGUUAGCUGCGGCACGGAUCGCGUCGAUAGCGACCCACACCUAGCACCCAUCGUUUACGGCGUGGACUAC